AACGACAAAAGAAAACUAUUGAAGAUGCCACCGACCGACAAAAGACACUAUAUAAAAUACCUUUGCUUUUUACUUUUUGCUUUUUGUCAGGUCUAGCUUUUCUUUACGCCUCUUUCCUAAUUUAUGUCACAUCUGCUUUUACUCGUAUCCCUUCUUUUUUAUUCGAGCGAAUCUUCCACCUCAGCUCAAUCUCGUCUAUCUCGACUUUAUGUCACCUCUCUGUUCUUUGAGCCUUAUGGAAUCAUCCACCUUGGUUGUUCCGCUCUUCUAUAAAAGCCCCUCAGAACAUUCAUUCGAGGCAGGUCGAAAUCUCCAUCUCUGCGAUCUCUUCUCUAUAAUCUCUUCUCUCUUCUCUAUUUACUCAACACAUUCUCCUGAAAGCUCUG
RNAcentral lists this long non-coding RNA (386 nucleotides) under Amborella trichopoda. Its description in RNAcentral is "long non-coding RNA (ATRI_LNC004607)". The record is from RNAcentral. Lineage: Eukaryota; Viridiplantae; Streptophyta; Magnoliopsida; Amborellales; Amborellaceae.